Molecule: ribosomal RNA, 393 nt
Filed under: Triticum aestivum (bread wheat)
Lineage: Eukaryota; Viridiplantae; Streptophyta; Magnoliopsida; Poales; Poaceae
Description: partial small subunit ribosomal RNA
Source: RNAcentral
GACGCGGUACGGGGGGAGCUGGCUUGGGAUCGGGGGUGAGCUUGAAGGGAAAGGGAAACCAGUGUUGAACCUCAAGCGGACUAGAGUACCAGCGGUACGGCAGCAGCAUCGGCGCUGGUAGCACGCGGAGAAGCGGCCCCCUCUGCAGGUCGUCUUGGCAGUAGCAGGUGAAGAAGUAGAGGUGGGUGCUCUAGCUCGGGCCUCGGUGGCGUAGCUGGCCUGCUCCAGAAGAAGUUCGAGACGGGGCGGCGAGCAGUAGAAGCUAAAGCUGGAGUAACUUCGGAGGGGCUCGGGCGACUGAAAGAGAUGUCGACGCUAUGUAGCUCUGUCUGCGGCGACGAUGGGUCAUGCUGAUGCCACAACUGCUGGGGAGAGAGAACGGUCUCGUUGGUC